GACGAACGCUGGCGGCGUGCCUAAUACAUGCAAGUAGAACGCUGAAGGAGGAGCUUGCUUCUCCGGAUGAGUUGCGAACGGGUGAGUAACGCGUAGGUAACCUGCCUGGUAGCGGGGGAUAACUAUUGGAAACGAUAGCUAAUACCGCAUAAGAGUAGAUGUUGCAUGACAUUUGCUUAAAAGGUGCAAUUGCAUCACUACCAGAUGGACCUGCGUUGUAUUAGCUAGUUGGUGGGGUAACGGCUUACCAAGGCGACGAUACAUAGCCGACCUGAGAGGGUGAUCGGCCAAACUGGGACUGAGACACGGCCCAGACUCCUACGGGAGGCAGCAGUAGGGAAUCUUCGGCAAUGGACGGAAGUCUGAACGAGCAACGCCGCGUGAGUGAAGAAGGUUUUCGGAUCGUAAAGCUCUGUUGUAAGAGAAGAACGAGUGUGAGAGUGGAAAGUUCACACUGUGACGGUAUCUUACCAGAAAGGGACGGCUAACUACGUG
This 495-nucleotide ribosomal RNA is filed under the name uncultured bacterium. Its description in RNAcentral is "partial 16S ribosomal RNA". It matches the Rfam family "Bacterial small subunit ribosomal RNA", at positions 28 to 507 of the family's 1533-position model. The record is from RNAcentral.